This 417-nucleotide ribosomal RNA is filed under the name uncultured bacterium. RNAcentral's name for it is "bacterial SSU rRNA". It matches the Rfam family "Bacterial small subunit ribosomal RNA", at positions 358 to 773 of the family's 1533-position model. The record is from RNAcentral.
CGAAUCAUUGGCAAUGCGCGCAAGCGUGACCAUGCAACGCCGCGUGGGCGAUGAAGGCCUUCGGGGUGUAAAGCCCUGCCAGGGGUGAGGAAACGUACGGGUCCACUCGUACUUGACGUUAGCCCAAGAGGAAUUCACGGCUAACUCCGUGCCAGCCGCCGCGGGAAGACGGAGGUGGCAAACGUUGCUCGGAAUCACUGGGCUUAAAGGGCGUGUAGGCGGUUGAUCAAGUCGGGUGUGAAAUCCCUCGGCUUAACCGAGGAACGGCAUUCGAUACUGGUUGGCUAGAGUGCGGGAGGGGUAAGUGGAACUCCAGGUGUAGCGGUGAAAUGCGUAGAUAUUUGGAGGAACGCCGGUGGCGAAAGCGACUUACUGGCCCGCAACUGACGCUGAGGCGCGAAAGCUAGGGGAGCAAAC